CCCAAAGGAUGGCACCAGGGUAAGGUACCCAUUCUUGCUCCUGUGAGGUCGCAAUAGAUGAUGAUAACCCUUAUAAUUAAU
Molecule: ribosomal RNA, 81 nt
Filed under: Synedropsis cf. recta
Lineage: Eukaryota; Bacillariophyta; Fragilariophyceae; Fragilariales; Fragilariaceae
Description: partial Eukaryotic small subunit ribosomal RNA
Source: RNAcentral